RNAcentral lists this ribosomal RNA (547 nucleotides) under uncultured bacterium. Its description in RNAcentral is "bacterial SSU rRNA". It matches the Rfam family "Bacterial small subunit ribosomal RNA", at positions 355 to 896 of the family's 1533-position model. The record is from RNAcentral.
CUAAGAAUAUUCCGCAAUGGGCGAAAGCCUGACGGAGCGACGCCGCGUGGAGGAUGAAGGCCUUCGGGUUGUAAACUCCUUUUCUUGGGAAAGAAUAAGGCCGGUAGUAACUGACCGGUCGAUGACGGUACCCAAGGAAUAAGCCCCGGCCAAUUACGUGCCAGCAGCCGCGGUAAUACGUAUGGGGCGAGCGUUGUUCGGAUUCACUGGGCGUAAAGGGCUUGUAGGUGGUGGGAUAAGUCGGGUGUGAAAUCCCUGGGCUUAACCCAGGAACUGCAUUCGAAACUAUCCCGCUAGAGUACCGGAGAGGGAAACGGAAUUCCUGGUGUAGGGGUGAAAUCUGUAGACAUCAGGAAGGACACCGGUGGCGAAGGCGGUUUCCUGGCCGGAUACUGACACUGAGGAGCGAAAGCUAGGGGAGCAAACAGGAUUAGAUACCCUGGUAGUCCUAGCCGUAAACGUUGUGCACUAGGUGUAAGUGGUUUACCCACUUGUGCCGCAGCUAACGCAUUAAGUGCACCGCCUGGGGAGUAUGCUCGCAAGGGUG